UGAAGGUACAGCUUUGGUAAAACAGGCUGAAGAUGCUGCUAGCAAUAAAAAGGCAGAGAAGAGAGAUGUGGUUGGUUUGCAGGAACAGGUUUUUGUUCGGAAAGUGAUUGAACUUCAUGAUAAAUAUUUGGCUUAUGUGAAUAACUGUUUCCAAAACCACACACUUUUUCACAAGGCGCUUAAAGAAGCUUUUGAGCUUUUCUGCAACAAGGGUGUUGCUGGUAGCUCAAGCGCUGAACUUCUUGCCACCUUCUGUGACAACAUUCUCAAAAAAGGCGGGAGUGAGAAAUUGAGUGAUGAAGCUAUUGAAGAAACGUUGGAAAAGGUGGUAAAGCUACUAGCUUAUAUUAGUGAUAAGGACUUGUUUGCAGAAUUCUAUAGGAAAAAGCUAGCCCGGCGGUUGUUAUUUGAUAAGAGUGCCAAUGAUGAACAUGAAAGAAGUAUCCUAACAAAGUUGAAGCAGCAGUGUGGGGGGCAGUUCACAUCAAAGAUGGAGGGAAUGGUCACAGAUUUGACAUUGGCAAGGGAAAAUCAAGCCAGCUUCGAGGAGUAUUUGAGCAAUAAUCCAAUAGCAAAUCCAGGAAUUGACUUGACGGUGACUGUCUUGACUACUGGCUUCUGGCCUAGCUACAAGUCUUUUGAUCUCAACCUCCCAGCAGAAAUGGUUAGGUGCGUUGAAGUAUUUAAGGAGUUCUAUCAAACAAAAACAAAGCACAGGAAACUUACGUGGAUAUACUCUUUGGGAACUUGCAACAUAAAUGGAAAAUUUGAGCCAAAAACUAUUGAGCUCGUUGUCACUACUUAUCAGGCUUCUGCUCUGCUGCUCUUUAAUGCAUCAGAUAGAUUGAGUUAUCAGGAAAUCAUGACGCAAUUAAACCUAUCAGAUGAUGAUGUUGUUCGGCUUCUUCAUUCCCUUUCAUGUGCGAAGUACAAGAUACUCAACAAGGAGCCAAGCACCAAAACAAUUUCUCCGACUGAUGUCUUUGAGUUCAACUCAAAGUUCACUGACAAAAUGAGGAGGAUCAAGAUACCUCUCCCUCCUGUUGAUGAGAAGAAAAAGGUAAUUGAAGACGUUGACAAGGAUAGGCGGUAUGCUAUAGAUGCUUCAAUUGUGCGUAUUAUGAAGAGCCGUAAAGUAUUGGGCUACCAGCAACUAGUCAUGGAGUGCGUUGAGCAGUUGGGGCGCAUGUUCAAGCCUGAUGUCAAAGCUAUCAAGAAGAGAAUCGAAGAUUUGAUAACUAGAGAUUACCUAGAGAGGGACAAAGAUAAUCCAAACCUGUUCAAGUACUUGGCAUGAUUAUUGCAGAUCAUAGUGAAUGAGUGAUGUUUAUAUGAACUUUUGCAAUCGACAUAGGAGGAGAAACAUGCUACCCGAGAUGAAGACAUAUUUCUGUAACUCCUCCUACCUCCCUGGACCUUGGAUUGCCUUGCACCAGGAGCUUGAAACAUUUUGUACAAAUGGUUAAGAUCUCAGGAAAAAGUAGAAUUGCCUCUCAGAUACUUGAGAUGCGAUUGCCUUAACUUCUUCCAAUCCUAUAUGGCCCUUUAGCUUGCUCUACUAUGUGUUUUGUCGGCUACCUGUUCGAGUUCAAGUAAAUGUAAUAUUCUACUCAACAGCAUCUUAUAAUACAUUCUCUACAACCCUACUUCCUUGGUUCUUUGUAGAUUGUGAUUUGGACCUUGGUGGUCUUGAUGGGGC
This 1699-nucleotide unclassified non-coding RNA is filed under the name Hevea brasiliensis (rubber tree). Lineage: Eukaryota; Viridiplantae; Streptophyta; Magnoliopsida; Malpighiales; Euphorbiaceae. The record is from RNAcentral.